GGAGAGAUGUCCGAGUGGUUGAAGGAGGCGGUCUUGAAAACCGUUGUGCCGCAAGGUACCGGGGGUUCGAAUCCCUCUCUCUCCG
Molecule: transfer RNA, 85 nt
Filed under: Treponema sp.
Lineage: Bacteria; Pseudomonadati; Spirochaetota; Spirochaetia; Treponematales; Treponemataceae
Description: tRNA-Ser
Rfam family: tRNA
About the family: Transfer RNA (tRNA) molecules are approximately 80 nucleotides in length. Their secondary structure includes four short double-helical elements and three loops (D, anti-codon, and T loops). Further hydrogen bonds mediate the characteristic L-shaped molecular structure. tRNAs have two regions of fundamental functional importance: the anti-codon, which is responsible for specific mRNA codon recognition, and the 3' end, to which the tRNAs corresponding amino acid is attached (by aminoacyl-tRNA synthetases). tRNAs cope with the degeneracy of the genetic code in two manners: having more than one tRNA (with a specific anti-codon) for a particular amino acid; and 'wobble' base-pairing, i.e. permitting non-standard base-pairing at the 3rd anti-codon position.
Source: RNAcentral